UGGAUAUCAAAUAGCCAAUCGUUUUAUUUAACUGCAUAUUUCGCACUUUUACAAAGUAAUUUUUUUAAUAGGUGAUCGUUCAAAGUCAUGCAAACAAUUAACAAUUAUUCACUGAAGUGGAGGUGGAUAGUGCAAGGACAUCCGGAGUUGAGAAAGCAAUCAGAUUGCACGAAAAGCACUAUCCACCACUCGAGUAUAUGAUAUGCAUGGCUGCCAGUGGUAUAAAUGUAAAUAACUUGACUGUUUCGUACUUUACCAUGGAACAGGCAGGCUGCCUAAAGAUCAAGUAUCGGGCCGCAGAACUGGUCGCUGAAUAAUAGUUUUUGCUAAACGUUGGACGUUUCUUUUCCAGAUAGUUUGACCUCAACGAGAACUAUAGUCUUAUAACACACUUGUAUUUCCCGCUAUAGAAAUGGUUAACACACUGCACACAUAAACUAUAAGGAUGUAUCUCUACAUAUUAUAUAUUCUACAAGCAAUACAAUACAUAACUCUAUAUAGAAGUUGAUGUAUGAGAAC
Paramuricea clavata is the source of this 519-nucleotide non-coding RNA. NCBI's taxonomy places the organism in Eukaryota, Metazoa, Cnidaria, Anthozoa, Malacalcyonacea, Plexauridae. The record is from the annotation of a GenBank genome assembly.